GGGGUGUACGGAAUUUUACACCGUUGUUGAAAAUUCAUACACUCAUUCGGCUGCGCCUCAGGGUGUAUGAAUUUUCAACAACGGUGUAAAAUUCUGUACACCCC
Molecule: small RNA, 104 nt
Filed under: Mytilus galloprovincialis (Mediterranean mussel)
Lineage: Eukaryota; Metazoa; Mollusca; Bivalvia; Mytilida; Mytilidae
Source: RNAcentral